AUGCCCACAGGAAUUACAUUUGCCAAUCCACUUGUCUCCAAUUUUAUUGAUAAAAAAAUCAAACCAGAAGAUGUAGUACCUAUCCUGGAGAGCUUGGAGCUUCCAAUAAGUGAUGAAAAUAUUAAAAAAGCACUGGAAUCCACGGAGUUUGAUGAAGAUGGAAAAAUAAAAUUUGACAAAUUUAUAAAUGAAUUGAUGAAGACUGGAGACUGUGCAAAGAGCCAACGAAUACAAGAUGCAAAUAAUUUUGUUAAUAAUAUUGUUGAUGGCAAAGUCAAUACAGAGGAUGUGAUGCCUAUCCUGAAGAGUUUGGGGAUCGACUUAUCUAAAGAAAAGCUUGCAGAUAUUUUGAAAUCCGUUAAACCUGAUGAAAAGGGAAAAGUGAAAUUUCAGGAUGUAGUCAACAAAUUGAUUUCAAGCAAACGUGCUUUAAAGGCCCAACGUGAGUACUAAUGAACCUUUCCAUUUUUGUGUUGAUGUAUACACCGUGACUAAAUACUAAUUUAAGAUUCUAGUAUGGUUUAGAUUUAAAAUACUUAUUAAAGUAUCUCAGAAUCUGGAGGAGGCCUUGGAAAAAUCAUGCAUUUCAAUCAGGCUCUCUAAAAUCUUGACAGAAUGCUGUGAGCCAAAGUUUAUCCCACUAUCCAAUCUAGUUUCUAAUUUGGAAACAGGGAAAUCUGUGGAUAUUCCAUUUCUGCCUUGAAGUUCAGUCUAGUAUUCUAACUACCCCAAAGCCACUCCAACCAUGCUAGAUCACAAAGCCUUUUAAAUUUUGUUACUUUGAGGAUAAUCAUACGUUAUCAUGUGCUUCUUUGCACAUUAACUUUGUAACUUGCUGGUGUUUUUUGUUAAUCAACCAGUCUCAAAAAAAAAAAAGAGCGAGAAUGGUGGAAUCUUAUGAUUCUAUUAUUAAAAAUCACAAGUCUAUUCCUUUAUUUAAGGGAAUGAAUUACAAUGAGGUCAUGCCUUAUUCUAAUGGUUUUUUAUUGGACGUAAUGAGAAUUUGUAUUUGAUAUGAUACAUUCAAGAGUUAACGUUUUCUUCUUCUGUAAUUCUAAGUAGAAGCUUGGGAAACCUUUUAGUUCUCAUUCUACUUUGGUAUGGCCUCAGACCCAAUAAUCAUGGAUGUAGAAAAUAAAUACAUUAUAUAUCUCA
RNAcentral lists this long non-coding RNA (1155 nucleotides) under Monodelphis domestica (gray short-tailed opossum). Its description in RNAcentral is "lncRNA (ENSMODG00000042910.1)". Lineage: Eukaryota; Metazoa; Chordata; Mammalia; Didelphimorphia; Didelphidae. The record is from RNAcentral.